AGUGAACGCUGGCGGUAGGCCUAACACAUGCAAGUCGAACGGCAGCACAGUAAGAGCUUGCUCUUACGGGUGGCGAGUGGCGGACGGGUGAGGAAUACAUCGGAAUCUACUUUUUCUUGGGGGAUAACGUAGGGAAACUUACGCUAAUACCUCAUACGACCUACGGGUGAAAGCAGUGGAUCUUCGGACCUUGCGCGAUUGAAUGAGCCGAUGUCGGAUUAGCUAGUUGGCGGGGUAAAGGCCCACCAAGGCGACGAUCCGUAGCUGGUCUGAGAGGAUGAUCAGCCACACUGGAACUGAGACACGGUCCAGACUCCUACGGGAGGCAGCAGUGGGGAAUAUUGGACAAUGGGCGCAAGCCUGACCCAGCAAUACCGCGUGGGUGAAGAAGGCCUUCGGGUUGUAAAGCCCUUUUGUUGGGAAAGAAAAGCAGCAGGUUAAUACCCCGCUGUUCUGACGGUACCCAAAGAAUAAGCAACGGCUAACUUCGUG
Molecule: ribosomal RNA, 492 nt
Filed under: uncultured bacterium
Lineage: Bacteria
Description: partial 16S ribosomal RNA
Rfam family: Bacterial small subunit ribosomal RNA
Source: RNAcentral